This 492-nucleotide ribosomal RNA is filed under the name uncultured bacterium. RNAcentral's name for it is "partial 16S ribosomal RNA". It matches the Rfam family "Bacterial small subunit ribosomal RNA", at positions 29 to 507 of the family's 1533-position model. The record is from RNAcentral.
AGUGAACGCUGGCGGUAGGCCUAACACAUGCAAGUCGAACGGCAGCACAGUAAGAGCUUGCUCUUACGGGUGGCGAGUGGCGGACGGGUGAGGAAUACAUCGGAAUCUACUUUUUCGUGGGGGAUAACGUAGGGAAACUUACGCUAAUACCGCAUACGACCUACGGGUGAAAGCAGGGGAUCUUCGGACCUUGCGCGAUUGAAUGAGCCGAUGUCGGAUUAGCUAGUUGGCGGGGUAAAGGCCCACCAAGGCGACGAUCCGUAGCAGGUCUGAGAGGAUGAUCAGCCACACUGGAACUGAGACACGGUCCAGACUCCUACGGGAGGCAGCAGUGGGGAAUAUUGGACAAUGGGCGCAAGCCUGAUCCAGCCAUACCGCGUGGGUGAAGAAGGCCUUCGGGCUGUAAAGCCCUUUUGUUGGGAAAGAAAAGCAGCAGGUUAAUACCCCGCUGUUCUGACGGUACCCAAAGAAUAAGCACCGGCUAACUUCGUG